This 419-nucleotide long non-coding RNA is filed under the name Equus caballus (horse). Its description in RNAcentral is "lncRNA (ENSECAG00000049332.1)". Lineage: Eukaryota; Metazoa; Chordata; Mammalia; Perissodactyla; Equidae. The record is from RNAcentral.
GUGAGGAGUCAGAGAACUGAAAACAAGACAUGCUGAUGAAGACCAGCCUCUAAGGGGCAGACAAAGAAGGAGAAGGGGGAAAGCAGAAAGCCCCCCAGGUACAUAGUUGUACAUUCUUCGUUGUGGCUCCUUCUAGUUGUGGCAUGUGGGAUGCUGCCUCAGCGUGGUUUGAUGAGCAGUGCCAUGUUUGCGCCCAGGAUUCGAACCAAUGAAACACUGGGCCGCCUGCAGCGGAGUGCACGAACUUAACCACUCGGCCACGGGGCCAGCCCCAUUUGGAAGGACCACUGGAAACUCUGCACAUUACAAGGGCAUCAUCAAGGUUACAUAGAUUCUGUUACAAGACAGAUCUGUCUUCUUGCAUCUUCAAAGAUGUUUAGUGUGCUAACGCUUCUUCCUUUCUUAAGAAAGCAACCAAU